Long non-coding RNA from Cercocebus atys (sooty mangabey), 263 nucleotides. RefSeq lists it as uncharacterized. Lineage: Eukaryota; Metazoa; Chordata; Mammalia; Primates; Cercopithecidae. The transcript has 3 exons. The record is from RefSeq and is a predicted model, not a curated record.
CAGCUGGAAACCUGUGGAGAUGAAGGAGGAGACCCAGGACCCGCCGUAUCCGAGCCCCGAGGUACACAUGGAAAACAGAAGAAUGGAGUCUUGGCUCCAGCAGUUUCCAGAUGACUUCUGUGUGAAUAAACUACUAAAAGAAGUGGGAUUCUGGAAGCCGUUCCUCUGACUCACCGGGCUUUCUCUGAGGACCAGGCCCUUAUCCUUUGGUGUCCUGGGUUGGAAUGGACACUUGGGAGUGGCAGAGAGAAUGACAGGCAGCC